RNAcentral lists this non-coding RNA (113 nucleotides) under Proboscia alata. Lineage: Eukaryota; Bacillariophyta; Melosirophyceae; Probosciales; Probosciaceae. The record is from RNAcentral.
CCCCGCGUGAGAAAUUGAAAUAAAACGAAACAAACGAAGGAAAUAUAGUUCAAAGAUGUAAAUAUCUUCUUGAUUAACAACUUAUUUUUUUUGCUUUUACUUUAAACUGUUUC